GCGUUAUAGCGAGGGAUGACUGUAUAUUGAAAGAACAUGUUGUGAAAUCCAUUUAAUGUUAUUCAACGUGCAGUUUCAUUGGUCCAUUCAGUGUUUGUUUAAUGUGGCGAUGGUGUAUAUUCUGAUGUAGUGAUGCAAUGGUUUACUGUUACACUGUGUACAGUUACAUCGCUACUAGAUGUGUACUGGGAUACUGUACAGUUCUACUGCUAAUACAUGUUUGAUGGGAUGUUGUACAGUGAUUGCUGUGUUGCAGGCUGGAGUUUCCCAUGUGCCAAACACUGCUGUAGUCAAUCAUUCACACCAGUCAAUUUGACCUUGACGCAACACUAUAUUUUGUACUCAGAAAAAGCUUCUUGUUCAAGGAGAGGUAGUGUCAUCUUACAGAGGACAGCAUUAAUGGCGGGAUAACCGCCUCUGUCAUGUCGACAGGGACCCAACCUUCGAUCAGAAGGGCCGUGGUUCAUAUCCAAUCACUGACUUAAAAAUGUUACAGUCUCACCGUUGGUGUCCAGUAUGAGCAUGUGUAUUUUAAUUGGGCUAAAGAGAGCCUCGCUACUAAGCAUCCCAGGGAGUCUCUAACCUGGUCUGGAGUCGUCCUAGACGACAUCAUAAACUUCUUAACAAGGUUUUACUACUAAAUCUUGAAUUUGAAAAUAAAUAACUUUUGUAAAGUCUACUGUCUAUCCCUCCCAUUUAUAUAGAACACAAUGCCACUCAACUUUUCAAAGCUAUCCAGUGUAGAGGGUUCAUGUGCAUCCUACUAAUGUCCACGUCAGUAAACCAAUAAAAACAGGAAUUUUGGACAGAUAUCCUGUAUACCUUUAAAGUAUUGAGAGGCAUAUAGUUUCACAAGUUCAUGUGACUAAUACUUAUGUGCCAAAGUUUUAGGCUUCAACACCUCAAUAUCCCUAUUUAAGGUUGAGUACUAUGGAUUUACUAUUUUUCUAUAAGUUCAACUGAAAGGCUUCCACAUUUCAUUAUCCCCACCAAAAGGUGAGUAGAAUACAGGUAUGCUGUCUGAGCUGUAUGAAGUGUAACUGUUAUGUAUUUGUGACCUUUGUACUGAGCAGCUGUAAUAAUACCGGUAACAAACACGUCUUACUGUUGUCAGGUAUGGUUUGUAGAGAAAAUAUCAAUAAAUCUGGAAAUAA
Molecule: long non-coding RNA, 1154 nt
Organism: Haliotis rubra (blacklip abalone)
Lineage: Eukaryota; Metazoa; Mollusca; Gastropoda; Lepetellida; Haliotidae
Exons: 2
Source: RefSeq, a predicted model, not a curated record